ACGGAAGGCAGCAGUGGGGAAUAUUGGGCAAUGGGGGAAACCCUGACCCAGCAACGCCGCGUGAAGGAAGGAGGCCUUCGGGUUGUAAACUUCUUUUAGAUGGGACGAAGAAGAUGACGGUACCAUCAGAAAAAGCAACGGCUAACUACGUGCCAGCAGCCGCGGUAAUACGUAGGUUGCAAGCGUUGUCCGGAUUUACUGGGUGUAAAGGGCGUGUAGGCGGAGCUGCAAGUCAGAUGUGAAAUCCCGGGGCUCAACCCCGGAACUGCAUUUGAAACUGUAGCCCUUGAGUAUCGGAGAGGCAAGCGGAAUUCCUAGUGUAGCGGUGAAAUGCGUAGAUAUUAGGAGGAACACCGGCGGCGAAGGCGGCUUGCUGGACAGAUACUGACGCUGAGGUGCGAAAGCGUGGGGAGCAAACAGGAUAAGAUACCCUGGUA
This 437-nucleotide ribosomal RNA is filed under the name uncultured Clostridium sp. Its description in RNAcentral is "partial 16S ribosomal RNA". It matches the Rfam family "Bacterial small subunit ribosomal RNA", at positions 341 to 792 of the family's 1533-position model. Lineage: Bacteria; Bacillati; Bacillota; Clostridia; Eubacteriales; Clostridiaceae. The record is from RNAcentral.